AUGAUAAUUAACACUUUAAUAAUUAUAAUAUUUAUAAUAAAUUUAAUUUUCUUAUUCAUGUUCCACCCGCUAGCUAUAAUUUUUGUUUUAAUUUUGCAAACGAUAUUAAUUUCUAUUAUUAUAUAUAGAAUCACACAAUUUCCCUGGUUUUCAUAUACCUUAAUUCUAGUGUUUUUAGGAGGAAUGUUAAUUCUGUUUACCUAUAUAUCUAAUAUUGCAUCUAACGAGAUAUUUAAACCGAACUUGAAGAUAAUGGCUCCUUUAGUACUAGCUCCUUUAAUUACAAUUUUUAUAAUGAAACCGAAGCAAAGACUAACUCUAGAAACUAAAAUUUCUUCUUCAAACCAAUUUUCUAACUUAAUGGUUUUGAAACCAUUCUCCGAGGCCAUUAUACCGGUUACAUUAUUAAUAGCUUCGUAUAUUAUCCUUACACUUCUCACCGUUGUAAAGAUUAGAAAAAUAUCGCAAGGUCCUCUUCGAAUUGUUUAA
Molecule: unclassified non-coding RNA, 489 nt
Filed under: Amphibalanus amphitrite
Lineage: Eukaryota; Metazoa; Arthropoda; Thecostraca; Balanomorpha; Balanidae
Description: nADH dehydrogenase subunit 6
Source: RNAcentral